Molecule: small RNA, 974 nt
Filed under: Arabidopsis thaliana (thale cress)
Lineage: Eukaryota; Viridiplantae; Streptophyta; Magnoliopsida; Brassicales; Brassicaceae
Description: ATSL292160
Source: RNAcentral
AGUUCUUAUGUGAGUAUGCUAAUGAAUGAUAGAAACAGCGAUGACGUUGUGGUGAAUUUGUUCUUAUUUUCUUUUUGCUAAGUCGUUGGUAACUUGCGAGAAAAUUAAUUAUACUGACUAGAUGAGUACCCGCAUUACGUGCGGGUUUAUGUAUAACUAUUUACAAAUUGUUUUAUAUAAUGUCUGUUCAUAUAAAAUAAAGUUGAAUGCAUCGGUUUUGAAACAUAAAUAUGAUUUGUAACUGUUUUUGAAAAGUCUAACUAUAUUAGUUCAUCUGAAAAACGAAUGUGUUUGAGUUGUUUUUUAUUGUUUUUUUUUUCCAACCACACAUUAAUUAAAAAGUAAUAUCUCCAUGAUCGGUUACCCAAUUAGGAGGAAUAGAGUAUACAAAAGUAAUUUCAGAAAUUAAAAUUUUAUUGUUGUUUUAGAUUCUCAAUUUUUUUUUUAAUUUUAUAUAUCCUUGUUUUUUUGGUUAUAUGUUUAGAUUGUGAGAGGGUGAAAUUUUAGAAAAUUUUCUUCUUACGCUAAAAAUAUAACAUGUCUUUAUUAACCAUGUCUCUGCAUAUUCAAUCUAAACAUAUUUAACUUGAUGUUCUUGGAAAGUUUAGUUAAGUUCUUGUCAUAAUCUUAUAUCUUACGUAUUAGUUAUAAGGAUAACUCCUCAAAGAUCUUUUAAAUUACUUGUUUUCUUAGCAUAAAUCUCAAAAAGCUUAGAUAUAUUUAAUCUGCAUAUUCAUUUAGUUUCUUUCAUAAUAAUCGUCUAAUUUUUAGGAUUUCAUAAUAAUCGUCUAAUUUUUAGGCAAAGAAUAUGUGUAGCAUGUUUGGAUUUUAUGAUCAUUUUAGCCACUUAAGUGGAUCUCAAAAUGAAAGAGGAUAUAUUAAAUUAAAAAAUAUAGAAAGAGAGAUGGUUCAAGUUCUGAUUAAUUAUAUCCUCCUAUUUAAAUUGUAUGUUGAAUUAAUUACUAUUUAUAUAU